CAGAUUUCUUUAGGAAUAAGAGAUAACACAUAUUUUCCCAUAAUAUGUAACUCUUGGUUCCAUAUAUCUGAAAGUCUGAAAUUGUUUCAUAACUUCUUUGGUUUAAAUGAAAAACAAAGGUAAAUAUGCUUUAGGAAGCACUGAAUGAGGCAAUAUAAAAUACUAUCUUUCACCAAUUGAAUUAUUUUAAAAUAAUUUCCAAACAUAAAAAUUCAAAUUUUAUCAACCUUUAGUUGUGGGAUUCUCUAAUGGAGUGAAACAAAGGGCUUUAUUCCCAUUAACUUUCUCCAGAAAAUAAUGCAACAGAUCAGCAUCCUUAGAUGUGCAAUAUUGACGCAUUUGAUCUCAAUCUCUUUUUUCUCUGGCUUGCUUUUAAUUUAAUUAGUUUUAAGCCUUAAGCUUUUAAAAGUGAAAUCAAUCAGAAGGCGAGAGUGUAGAGAAUCAUGUUCCAACGCUUCUCAUGUAAAUUCAAAUUUUAGAUUCUUCUUUGGAGUAAAACAGGCUCCUCACUGUCUACAAGCUUAUUUCUGAGUUACAAAAAUUCUCUCCAUGUUUUUCCCUAUCUUAUCAUGUUUUCCUCCUGCAUUCUCGUACUCAGUCUGGGCUGCCAGAGGACACUUUUUUCUUGCAUCUGGAAAUUUAAGCAGCAGACAACUUAUUUAAGCAGACAGUAAUGUCUCCAGGUCUGUCAAAUAGAUGCAUUUUCAAUCUUCCAGUACUUUCAAAGAAGACAGAAUCUUGGAAUACAUUUCCAUAAAGGGUAAGGAGCAUAAUGUUAUUCAGAGCAUUUAGCAAGUAAUACCUGCCUCAUACUUAUUGGACUUUAAUUCUCCUAGAAAUAAAAUAUAGGGAACAUUUUAAUCAGAGAAAAACUUGUCAUGAUCUUAGCAAUCCAUCCCCCCCCUCAAUGUUUCUCUUCUUCCCAGUCUUUCAAUUUUCCAAAA
RNAcentral lists this long non-coding RNA (944 nucleotides) under Bos taurus (domestic cattle). Its description in RNAcentral is "long non-coding RNA NONBTAT020239". Lineage: Eukaryota; Metazoa; Chordata; Mammalia; Artiodactyla; Bovidae. The record is from RNAcentral.